CCUACGGGUGGCAGCAGUGGGGAAUAUUGCACAAUGGGCGCAAGCCUGAUGCAGCCAUGCCGCGUGUGUGAAGAAGGCCUUCGGGUUGUAAAGCACUUUCAGCGGGGAGGAAGGCGGUGAGGUUAAUAACCUCAUCGAUUGACGUUACCCGCAGAAGAAGCACCGGCUAACUCCGUGCCAGCAGCCGCGGUAAUACGGAGGGUGCAAGCGUUAAUCGGAAUUACCGGGCGUAAAGCGCACGCAGGCGGUCUGUCAAGUCGGAUGUGAAAUCCCCGGGCUCAACCUGGGAACUGCAUUCGAAACUGGCAGGCUAGAGUCUUGUAGAGGGGGGUAGAAUUCCAGGUGUAGCGGUGAAAUGCGUAGAGAUCUGGAGGAAUACCGGUGGCGAAGGCGGCCCCCUGGACAAAGACUGACGCUCAGGUGCGAAAGCGUGGGGAGCAAACAGGAUUAGAUACCCCAGUAGUC
RNAcentral lists this ribosomal RNA (465 nucleotides) under uncultured Klebsiella sp. RNAcentral's name for it is "bacterial SSU rRNA". It matches the Rfam family "Bacterial small subunit ribosomal RNA", at positions 338 to 795 of the family's 1533-position model. The record is from RNAcentral. Lineage: Bacteria; Pseudomonadati; Pseudomonadota; Gammaproteobacteria; Enterobacterales; Enterobacteriaceae.